UGAUACUAAGCCAUGCGAGUCAUUGUAGCAAUACAAGGCAGACGGCUCAGUAACGCGUAGUCAACCUACCCUAUGGACGGGAAUAACCUCGGGAAACUGAGUAUAAUGCCCGAUAGAACAUUAUGCCUGGAAUGGUUUAUGUUCCAAAUGAUUUAUCGCCGUAGGAUGGGACUGCGGCCUAUCAGUUUGUUGGUGAGGUAAUGGCCCACCAAGACUAUUACAGGUACGGGCUCUGAGAGGAGUGGCCCGGAGAUGGGUACUGAGACACGGACCCAGGCCCUAUGGGGCGCAGCAGGCGAGAAAACUUUGCAAUGUGCGAAAGCACGACAAGGUUAAUCCGAGUGGUUUCUGCUAAAGGAACCUUUUGUUAGUCGUAGAACCACUGAUGAAUAAGGGGUGGGCAAGUUCUGGUGUCAGCCGCCGCGGUAAAACCAGCACCUCAAGUGGUCAGGAUGAUUAUUGGGCCUAAAGCAUCCGUAGCCGGCUCUGUAAGUUUUCGGUUAAAUCUGUACGCUUAACGUACAGGCUGCCGGGAAUACUGCAGAGCUAGGGAGUGGGAGAGGUAGACGGUACUCGGUAGGAAGGGGUAAAAUCCUUUGAUCUAUUGAUGACCACCUGUGGCGAAGGCGGUCUACCAGAACACGUCCGACGGUGAGGGAUGAAAGCUGGGGGAGCAAACCGGAUUGGAUACCCGGGUAGUCCCAGCUGUAAACUAUGCAAACUCAAUGAUGCAUUGGCUUGUGGCCAAUGCAGUGUUGCAGGGAAGCCGUUAAGUUUGCCGCCUGGGAAGUACGUACGCAAGUAUGAAACUAAAAGGAAUUGGCGGGGGAGCACCACAAGGGGUGAAGCCUGCGGUUCAAUUGGAGUCAACGCCGGA
RNAcentral lists this ribosomal RNA (877 nucleotides) under uncultured archaeon. Its description in RNAcentral is "bacterial SSU rRNA". It matches the Rfam family "Archaeal small subunit ribosomal RNA", at positions 39 to 922 of the family's 1478-position model. The record is from RNAcentral.